UCUUGGUCAUUUAGAGGAAGUAAAAGUCGUAACAAGGUUUCCGUAGGUGAACCUGCGGAAGGAUCAUUAAAGAAAUUUAGUAAUUUUGAAAAUGGAUUUUUUUGUUUUGGCAAGAGCAUGAGAGCUUUUACUGGGCAAGAAGACAAGAGAUGGAGAGUCCAGCCGGGCCUGCGCUUAAGUGCGCGGUCUUGCUAGGCUUGUAAGUUUCUUUCUUGCUAUUCCAAACGGUGAGAGAUUUCUGUGCUUUUGUUAUAGGACAAUUAAAACCGUUUCAAUACAACACACUGUGGAGUUUUCAUAUCUUUGCAACUUUUUCUUUGGGCAUUCGAGCAAUCGGGGCCCAGAGGUAACAAACACAAACAAUUUUAUCUAUUCAUUAAAUUUUUGUCAAAAACAAGAAUUUUCGUAACUGGAAAUUUUAAAAUAUUAAAAACUUUCAACAACGGAUCUCUUGGUUCUCGCAUCGAUGAAGAACGCAGCGAAAUGCGAUACGUAAUGUGAAUUGCAGAAUUCCGUGAAUCAUCGAAUCUUUGAACGCACAUUGCGCCCCUUGGUAUUCCAGGGGGCGUGCCUGUUUGAGCGUCAUUUCCUUCUCAAACAUUCUGUUUGGUAGUGAGUGAUACUCUUUGGAGUUAACUUGAAAUUGCUGGCCUUUUCAUUGGAUGUUUUUUUUCCAAAGAGAGGUUUCUCUGCGUGCUUGAGGUAUAAUGCAAGUACGGUCGUUUUAGGUUUUACCAACUGCGGCUAAUCUUUUUUUAUACUGAGCGUAUUGGAACGUUAUCGAUAAGAAGAGAGCGUCUAGGCGAACAAUGUUCUUAAAGUUUGACCUCAAAUCAGGUAGGAGUACCCGCUGAACUUAAGCAUAUCAAUAAGCGGAG
Molecule: ribosomal RNA, 878 nt
Filed under: uncultured fungus
Lineage: Eukaryota; Fungi
Description: eukaryotic LSU rRNA
Rfam family: 5.8S ribosomal RNA (bases 432-585)
Source: RNAcentral